CGGAAAGCAUAGUUCUUCCUUCUGUACCAGGGAAGAAAGUGGUCAGUCAGAAACUCCACAUACUUUGCAGAGGUCAUCUUUACACCUUCGGGGACCUAAAGGGGCCGGCCAGCUCUCUUCCCAUGAUUCCGGCCCAAAACAUAACUCCACCACCGCCUUGCUGACGUCGCAGCCUUGUUGGAACAGGGUGGCCGUCCACCAACCAUCCCCUACUCCAUCCAUCUGGACCAUCCAGGGUUGCACGGCACUCAUCAGUGAACAGGACUGUUGAAAAUUAGUCUUCAUGUAUUGUUCUGCCCAAUGCAGCCGUUUCUGCUUGUGAGCAUUGGUUAGCAGUGGCCGAAUAAACUCUGGAGGACUCUACAC
Pelobates cultripes (western spadefoot toad) is the source of this 366-nucleotide non-coding RNA. The record is from the annotation of a GenBank genome assembly. Lineage: Eukaryota; Metazoa; Chordata; Amphibia; Anura; Pelobatidae.